GGCCUGCGCGGAAGAUGUAACGGGGCUAAACCAUGCACCGAAGCUGCGGCAGCGACACUGUGUGUUGUUGGGUAGGGGAGCGUUCUGUAAGCCUGUGAAGGUGUGUCGUGAGGCAUGCUGGAGGUAUCAGAAGUGCGAAUGCUGACAUAAGUAACGAUAAAGCGGGUGAAAAGCCCGCUCGCCGGAAGACCAAGGGUUCCUGUCCAACGUUAAUCGGGGCAGGGUGAGUCGACCCCUAAGGCGAGGCCGAAAGGCGUAGUCGAUGGGAAACGGGUUAAUAUUCCCGUACUUGGUGUUACUGCGAAGGGGGGACGGAGAAGGCUAUGUUGGCCGGGCGACGGUUGUCCCGGUUUAAGCGUGUAGGUGUGUGUUCCAGGUAAAUCCGGUUCACUUUAACACUGAGGCGUGACGACGAGGCACUACGGUGCUGAAGCAACAAAUGCCCUGCUUCCAGGAAAAGCCUCUAAGCAUCAGGUAACAUCAAAUCGUACCCCAAACCGACACAGGUGGUCAGGUAGAGAAUACCAAGGCGCUUGAGAGAACUCGGGUGAAGGAACUAGGCAAAAUGGUGCCGUAACUUCGGGAGAAGGCACGCUGACACGUAGGUGAAGUGAUUUACUCAUGGAGCUGAAGUCAGUCGAAGAUACCAGCUGGCUGCAACUGUUUAUUAAAAACACAGCACUGUGCAAACACGAAAGUGGACGUAUACGGUGUGACGCCUGCCCGGUGCCGGAAGGUUAAUUGAUGGGGUCAGCGCAAGCGAAGCUCCUGAUCGAAGCCCCGGUAAACGGCGGCCGUAACUAUAACGGUCCUAAGGUAGCGAAAUUCCUUGUCGGGUAAGUUCCGACCUGCACGAAUGGCGUAAUGAUGGCCAGGCUGUCUCCACCCGAGACUCAGUGAAAUUGAACUCGCUGUGAAGAUGCAGUGUACCCGCGGCAAGACGGAAAGACCCCGUGAACCUUUACUAUAGCUUGACACUGAACAUUGAGCCUUGAUGUGUAGGAUAGGUGGGAGGCUUUGAAGUGUGGACGCCAGUCUGCAUGGAGCCGACCUUGAAAUACCACCCUUUAAUGUUUGAUGUUCUAACGUGGACCCG
This 1096-nucleotide ribosomal RNA is filed under the name Salmonella enterica subsp. enterica. Its description in RNAcentral is "bacterial LSU rRNA". It matches the Rfam family "Bacterial large subunit ribosomal RNA", at positions 1156 to 2235 of the family's 2925-position model. The record is from RNAcentral. Lineage: Bacteria; Pseudomonadati; Pseudomonadota; Gammaproteobacteria; Enterobacterales; Enterobacteriaceae.